Molecule: long non-coding RNA, 409 nt
Organism: Rana temporaria (common frog)
Lineage: Eukaryota; Metazoa; Chordata; Amphibia; Anura; Ranidae
Exons: 3
Source: RefSeq, a predicted model, not a curated record
ACAAUCUUUAUUAACAACGAGGGAAAAAAAGUGACAAUGUCCUGAGGGAGGGGUGUGUGAGGGGAAGACUGAGAGAGAUGUCCUGUCAGUGGGGUCUCCUCAUGUGAUGAUGAUGAAGAUGGAUCAGAACAAUAGAUGUUAUCUGCGCCAAUUCUCCAGGAAGAGGUCGUGUUAUUGGGGCUACAGGAAAUACGUUCUGGACAGGAAGAGAAUCCCUCGCUUCUUCCAGCACGCUGUCGCUGCUAAUGAGAACCGACACAAGAAAGAAUGUCAGAGAGGCAAUUAAGGCACAACAAGGUAUUCCAGCGGUAAUUAUGGCUGAAUUAUUUACAAAUGAUGAAAACAUUUCGGGGGUCCAGGCGAUAACUUACAAGAGUCGAGGAUGUCACCGCACUCCUCUCGCCUGGAG